This 312-nucleotide long non-coding RNA is filed under the name Capsicum annuum. Its description in RNAcentral is "long non-coding RNA (CANN_LNC002281)". The record is from RNAcentral. Lineage: Eukaryota; Viridiplantae; Streptophyta; Magnoliopsida; Solanales; Solanaceae.
UCAAGGAUAGGUACGAUCAACUCAAUGAAGAGGUGUCAGACCUUGGCGUGGGACUUGAUUUCCUAGUUCCUACGUUGGUCUUGGAUGAAGAAGAAAUGUUAAGAUAUGUCAUAGGGGUCAGGCCAAAUCCACACGGCAAGAGCUAGACUGAGGCAAAAAGGAUUCUAACAACAUGCAUUAUCGGGUUGUUGAUAUACUACUCGAGGAGGGAAAGAUCAAUGUUUAUGACUUCAACGUACCUCUCAUCGACUAUUUCGAUCUUUUUAUCCUUGUAAAGCCACUGAUGAUGUUGUUGUACAUCUUGUUGAGGGA